Molecule: ribosomal RNA, 520 nt
Filed under: uncultured Glomus
Lineage: Eukaryota; Fungi; Glomeromycota; Glomeromycetes; Glomerales; Glomeraceae
Description: SSU rRNA
Rfam family: Eukaryotic small subunit ribosomal RNA
Source: RNAcentral
AGCAGCCGCGGUAAUUCCAGCUCCAAUAGCGUAUAUUAAAGUUGCUGCAGUUAAAAAGCUCGUAGUUGAAUUUCGGGACUAAUAUGUCGGUCGUGCCUCGGUACGUACUGGCUUAUUGGUUUCUCCUUUCUGAAGAACCAUGAUGUCAUUUAUUUGGUGUCGUGGGGAAUCAGGACUGUUACUUUGAAAAAAUUAGAGUGUUUAAAGCAGGCUCACGCUUGAAUACAUUAGCAUGGAAUAAUGAAAUAGGACGUUUGAUUCUAUUUUGUUGGUUUCUAGGAUCGACGUAAUGAUUAAUAGGGAUAGUUGGGGGCAUUAGUAUUCAAUUGUCAGAGGUGAAAUUCUUGGAUUUAUUGAAGACUAACUACUGCGAAAGCAUUUGCCAAGGAUGUUUUCAUUAAUCAAGAACGAAAGUUAGGGGAUCGAAGACGAUCAGAUACCGUCGUAGUCUUAACCAUAAACUAUGCCGACUAGGGAUCGGAUGAUGUUAAUUUUUAAUGACUCAUUCGGCGCCUUAACC